CUCAGCUGGAUAGAGUACUCGGCUACGAACCGAGCGGUCGGAGGUUCGAAUCCUCCCGGAUGCACCA
Molecule: transfer RNA, 67 nt
Filed under: Escherichia coli
Lineage: Bacteria; Pseudomonadati; Pseudomonadota; Gammaproteobacteria; Enterobacterales; Enterobacteriaceae
Also listed under: 5 other names
Description: tRNA-Arg
Rfam family: tRNA
About the family: Transfer RNA (tRNA) molecules are approximately 80 nucleotides in length.
Source: RNAcentral